GAUGAACGCUCGCUACAGGCUUAACACAUGCAAGUCGAGGGGAAACGAUGAGAGAGCUUGCUCUCUUAGGCGUCGACCGGCGCACGGGUGAGUAACGCGUAUCCAACCUACCCAUUACAGGGGGAUAACCUUGCGAAAGUAAGACUAAUACCCCAUGGCAUUUUAUGGUGGCAUCAUUAUAGGAUUAAAGAUUUAUUGGUAAUGGAUGGGGAUGCGUCUGAUUAGCUUGUUGGCGGGGUAACGGCCCACCAAGGCAACGAUCAGUAGGGGUUCUGAGAGGAAGGUCCCCCACAUUGGAACUGAGACACGGUCCAAACUCCUACGGGAGGCAGCAGUGAGGAAUAUUGGUCAAUGGGCGAGAGCUUGAACCAGCCAAGUAGCGUGCAGGAGGACGGCCCUAUGGGUUGUAAACUGCUUUUAUAGGGGAAUAAAGUGAGCUACGUGUAGUUUAUUGCAUGUACCCUAUGAAUAAGGACCGGCUAAUUCCGUG
Molecule: ribosomal RNA, 490 nt
Filed under: uncultured bacterium
Lineage: Bacteria
Description: partial 16S ribosomal RNA
Rfam family: Bacterial small subunit ribosomal RNA
Source: RNAcentral